Molecule: ribosomal RNA, 393 nt
Filed under: uncultured bacterium
Lineage: Bacteria
Description: partial 16S ribosomal RNA
Rfam family: Bacterial small subunit ribosomal RNA
Source: RNAcentral
AUACGGAGGAUGCGAGCGUUAUCCGGAUUUAUUGGGUUUAAAGGGUGCGUAGGCGGACUAUUAAGUCAGCGGUGAAAAGUUAAGGCUAAACCUUAAUCGUGCCGUUGAAACUGGUAGACUAGGAUGUGGAUGAUGUGACAGGAAUGUGUAGUGUAGCGGUGAAAUGCAUAGAUAUUACACAGAACACCAAUUGCGAAGGCAUGUCACAAGGCCACAAUUGACGCUGAGGCACGAAAGUGCGGGGAUCAAACAGGAUUAGAUACCCUGGUAGUCCGCACAGUAAACGAUGAUAACUAGUUGUUGGCGAUAGAAUGUCAGUGGCGCAGCGAAAGCGAUAAGUUAUCCACCUGGGGAGUACGACCGCAAGGUUGAAACUUAAAGGAAUUGACGGGG